AAAUCUACGGGGCGCAGCAGUGGGGAAUAUUGCACAAUGGGGGAAACCCUGAUGCAGCGACGCCGCGUGAGCGAAGAAGUAUUUCGGUAUGUAAAGCUCUAUCAGCAGGGAAGAAAAUGACGGUACCUGUCUAAGAAGCUCCGGCUAAAUACGUGCCAGCAGCCGCGGUAAUACGUAUGGAGCAAGCGUUAUCCGGAUUUACUGGUUGUAAAGGGAGCGUAGGCGGUAAGGCAAGUCUGAUGUGAACGGCCAGGGCUCAACCCUGGUACGGCAUUGGACACUGUUUAACUGGAGUGUCGGAGAGG
This 305-nucleotide ribosomal RNA is filed under the name uncultured bacterium. RNAcentral's name for it is "bacterial SSU rRNA". It matches the Rfam family "Bacterial small subunit ribosomal RNA", at positions 335 to 657 of the family's 1533-position model. The record is from RNAcentral.